Long non-coding RNA from Mytilus trossulus (common blue mussel), 2187 nucleotides. RefSeq lists it as uncharacterized. The transcript has 2 exons. The record is from RefSeq and is a predicted model, not a curated record. Lineage: Eukaryota; Metazoa; Mollusca; Bivalvia; Mytilida; Mytilidae.
AAUUCACUGAAAUGACGAGAGCGCAUGAUUUGACAUGGGAACUUGAUGAAAAUGAAAAGAAAUAAAAACAUAUAGUAUAUGGAAUUAGAGAUAAUUAAAUAAAACAAAAUUCAAGAUGUCGAUUUUAUACAAAGGGAAUGAGGAGAUGUACAUCGGAUUAAUCAUUGGAUUUAGUGUGAUGAUCGUGAUAUUUAUCGUACUAUGUAUCGUAUGGAGAUGUCUUUGUAUCAAAACAAACACUAUGAUUCAACAAAGGCAACAACAAUCCCAAGAAAGAACUCAUGCCUGGGGAGACGAUAGCAAAGUAAUGAAAAAGAACCACACAGCAAAGAAAGAUAAAGAUUUCUAUAAUGACGGUAUACAUAACAGAGUGGUGACAGAAGAAGGAAAAGUUCAAAUGAAUGAGGCGGAAUUCUUACAAAAAUAUAUAUAGUUUUAAAUCCAGUACUGUAAAGAGUUCAAAUUCAAAUAAAUGGAUUUUUGUUAACCCUUAAUUGUACAAUCUGUAAUUAUACCAAACACCUUUGAUUUAACGAACAGGUCCCUUUGCCUUGCACCACUUAUGCAUAUGAAGUGGAUUACAGUUUGUUAAAUUUGAGAAAUAUAUCAAGAAUUUAUAUCCGAGGUAACUAGAUAAUUUGUAAAAAAACAUUUUGUGGAUAAUUUGCAUUACAUUUCACUUCAUUAGUUUAAGUUUAUAUUUGGAUUAUAGUUUAACUUUGAUGCUAUUUGUUUGAAACACAGAUUGUUUAUCGAGAUACCUUUUAUUGAAAUGAUAUUAACCUUUUAUUGAAAUAUAUAUUAACCUUUUAUUGAAAUGAUAUUAACCUUUUAUUGAAAUAUAUAUUAACCUUUUAUUGAAAUAAUAUAAACCUUUUAUUGAAAUGAUAUAAACCUUUUAUUGAAAUAUAUUUUAAAAUAAAAAAAAAAUAUUGAUCAUUUUAAUUGCAUUUGACUAAAAUUUGAUGUUUGAAGUAGGUGGUAUGGAAUAAGGUAAAGUCAUCAUUCAUUUACACUAACGCAUGGCAUCUAAUUUCAAAAUGUUUUCUUGAUAAAAAAUAUUUGCCAAUUUUAAUGAUAAAGAACUUUGUUUAUUUUGACCCAUUUUCCAUUUCUUCUUCAAAACACCAACCUACUUACAUGUGAAAUAUUUAUAAAGAUGUUUCAAAAUGUUGUUCUCAAACAAACAUAUCUUGUGGACAUCUUUGAAAUAUUUUAAAACCAACAAAUUCAUAGAGACCGGAUAACAUUCCAUGUACGACGUGCUGAAGUGGAUUAUUUUGUAACUUGCAAAAAAAAUACAUAAAUAUUUAAUUACUUGCCGAUAAAAUGCAGAUCGCAUUAUUCGGUAAAAAUGGUUUUAUCUUUUUAAAUAUUUUACAAAGAUAUUUUAUGGAAAAGGUUAUAAUUUAAGCAUGAUAAGGGUGCAUGCUCAACGAAAAACCUAUCUGGAUUUUAACGAUGCUUUACCGAAAAUUUCCAAAAAAAUGUAUUUGGGAAGGCAUGAAAAGUUAGGGUAGGUAGGGAUAAACAACUUGUUGUUAAUUUCUGUGUCAAUUGGACUCUUGUGGAGAGUUGUCUCAUUUGCAGUCACCGCAUUUCUAUAAACUAUUUUGCCUCAUAUUAUUUUUUAUGUUUUAAUUGGAUAAUAUAAAAAAGAAGAUGUGGUAGGAUUGUCAAUGAGACAACUAUCCACAAAAGACAGAAAUGACACAGGCAUUAACAACUAUAGGUCACCGUAUGGCCUUCAACAAUAAGAAAAGCCAAUACCGCAUAGUCGGCUAUAAAAGACCCCGAUAAGACAAUGAAAAACAAUUCAAAGGAGAAAACUAACGGCCUUAUUUAUGAAAAAAAAUUGAAUUUAUUAUUUUGUAUGUAACAAUAUUUCAUUAUCAAAUGUUUGCUAUAGAAUUUUCUUGUCAGCACGCUGGUUAUCGCUUAUUUUGAGUAGUAUAUAUGUUUAAAUUCCACAUUAUGCACAGUUUGUUAUACAUUUUCUAUUGUUUAUUCCAGUGAACAGUUAGUUGUUCGACCAUUAGACAUACUAUUAGAUUUGAAAUUUAAACUACUUUUGUAUGUCAAUGAUUUAUAAGAAUAAUCUCUAUUUUUGUUAUAACUAUGUCUGUGAUAUUCGGGUAUGUUAAAAUUGUGUUACAUGCGAUCUCUGAAAUAAAAGUUGUUUAUCGA